AUACGGAGGAUGCGAGCGUUACCCGGAUUUAUUAAGUUUAAAGGGAGCGUAGAUGGGAUAUUAAGUCAGCUGUGAAAGUUUGGGGCUCAACCUUAAAAUUGCAGUUGAUACUGGUUUCCUUGAGUACGGUACAGGUGGGCGGAAUUCGUGGUGUAGCGGUGAAAUGCUUAGAUAUCACGAAGAACUCCGAUCGCGAAGGCAGCUCACCGGGCCGGAACUGACACUGAUGCUCGAAAGUGCGGGUAUCAAACAGGAUUAGAUACCCUGGUAGUCCGCACAGUAAACGAUGAAUACUCGCUGUUUGCGAUACACGGUAAGCGGCCAAGCGAAAGCGUUAAGUAUUCCACCUGGGGAGUACGCCGGCAACGGUGAAACUCAAAUGAAUUGGCGGGG
RNAcentral lists this ribosomal RNA (393 nucleotides) under uncultured bacterium. Its description in RNAcentral is "partial 16S ribosomal RNA". It matches the Rfam family "Bacterial small subunit ribosomal RNA", at positions 523 to 918 of the family's 1533-position model. The record is from RNAcentral.